UACGGGAGGCAGCAGUGGGGAAUCUUGCACAAUGGGCGAAAGCCUGAUGCAGCGACGCCGCGUGCGGGACGAAGGCCUUCGGGUUGUAAACCGCUUUCAGCAGGGACGAGGCCGCAAGGUGACGGUACCUGCAGAAGAAGCCCCGGCUAACUACGUGCCAGCAGCCGCGGUAAUACGUAGGGGGCGAGCGUUAUCCGGAUUCAUUGGGCGUAAAGCGCGCGUAGGCGGCCUGCUAGGUCGGGACUCAAAUCCGGGGGCUCAACCCCCGCCCGGUCCCGAUACCGACAGGCUUGAGUCUGGUAGGGGAAGGCGGAAUUCCAAGUGUAGCGGUGGAAUGCGCAGAUAUUUGGAAGAACACCGGUGGCGAAGGCGGCCUUCUGGGCCACGACUGACGCUGAGGCGCGAAAGCUAGGGGAGCGAACAGGAUUAGAUACCCUGGUAGUCCUAGCCGUAAACGAUGGACACUAGGUGUGGGGGGAUGUGCCCUCCGUGCCGCAGCCAACGCAUUAAGUGUCCCGCCUGGGGAGUACGGCCGCAAGGCUAAAACUCAAAGGAAUUGACGGA
This 564-nucleotide ribosomal RNA is filed under the name uncultured bacterium. RNAcentral's name for it is "bacterial SSU rRNA". It matches the Rfam family "Bacterial small subunit ribosomal RNA", at positions 340 to 917 of the family's 1533-position model. The record is from RNAcentral.